This 522-nucleotide ribosomal RNA is filed under the name Streptosporangium sp. 310G09. Its description in RNAcentral is "bacterial SSU rRNA". It matches the Rfam family "Bacterial small subunit ribosomal RNA", at positions 93 to 632 of the family's 1533-position model. The record is from RNAcentral. Lineage: Bacteria; Bacillati; Actinomycetota; Actinomycetes; Streptosporangiales; Streptosporangiaceae.
GAGCGGCGAACGGGUGAGUAACACGUGAGUAACCUGCCCCUGACUCUGGGAUAAGCCCGGGAAACUGGGUCUAAUACCGGAUACGACACCUCCCGGCAUCGGGUGGGUGUGGAAAGUUUUUUCGGUUGGGGAUGGACUCGCGGCCUAUCAGCUUGUUGGUGGGGUAACGGCCUACCAAGGCGACGACGGGUAGCCGGCCUGAGAGGGCGACCGGCCACACUGGGACUGAGACACGGCCCAGACUCCUACGGGAGGCAGCAGUGGGGAAUAUUGCGCAAUGGGCGAAAGCCUGACGCAGCGACGCCGCGUGGGGGAUGACGGCCUUCGGGUUGUAAACCUCUUUCAGCAGGGACGAAGUUGACGUGUACCUGCAGAAGAAGCGCCGGCUAACUACGUGCCAGCAGCCGCGGUAAUACGUAGGGCGCAAGCGUUGUCCGGAAUUAUUGGGCGUAAAGAGCUCGUAGGUGGCUUGUCACGUCGGGUGUGAAAGCUUGGGGCUUAACUCCAGGUCUGCAUUCGAUA